CAGCCGCCGCGGUAAAACGAAGGGGGCUAGCGUUGCUCGGAAUUACUGGGCGUAAAGGGCGCGUAGGCGGCACUGUUAGUCAGGCGUGAAAUUCCCGGGCUCAACCUGGGGACUGCGCUUGAUACGGCAGAGCUUGAGGAUGGAAGAGGGUCGUGGAAUUCCCAGUGUAGAGGUGAAAUUCGUAGAUAUUGGGAAGAACACCGGUGGCGAAGGCGGCGACCUGGUCCAUUACUGACGCUGAGGCGCGACAGCGUGGGGAGCAAACAGGAUUAGAUACCCCAGUAGUCCCUGUCUCUUAUAC
Molecule: ribosomal RNA, 301 nt
Filed under: uncultured bacterium
Lineage: Bacteria
Description: partial 16S ribosomal RNA
Rfam family: Bacterial small subunit ribosomal RNA
Source: RNAcentral